GGUAGUGUGGCCGAGUGGUCUAAGGCGCUGGAUUUAGGCUCCAGUCUCUGUGGAGGCGUGGGUUCGAAUCCCACCGCUCCCUAUCA
Non-coding RNA from Colossoma macropomum (tambaqui), 86 nucleotides. NCBI's taxonomy places the organism in Eukaryota, Metazoa, Chordata, Actinopteri, Characiformes, Serrasalmidae. The record is from the annotation of a RefSeq genome assembly.